GUUUAGUGUUAAAAGUGAACAGACCUAGCAGUGAGGUCACCAGGCGUGGUUUCUGGAUAGCAUUGGUGGUUCCAUCUCCAAGUUGUCCCUCAUCAUUGUCUCCCCAGGAAUACACCUCCCCUGUAGACACAACUGAAUGGAAGACAGACGUCCCACAUGUACUAACAGAGAUUGACAGUCAGUGAACUACAGCAUUACUGAUCUACACGUACAAAAGUAAGGCCAUACCUAGCUUUCCAUAAUCACCAUCUCCCCAUGACCAGACGUUGUCAUCAUCAGUGAUACACAGUGUCUGAGCAUCACCACUGCCACACGCAAUGUCAAUUACAUGCAGUGACUGCAAAUAGAGUCUGCUCUCCUCCGACAAGUUGGAUUGGCCUUGUGACAGCCAGAGCCUCACAGCUGACUGGCUGCUUGACCUUGGCACCAUCUACUCCUCCAAGCUGACCCCUGUGAUUGUG
Molecule: long non-coding RNA, 461 nt
Organism: Ostrea edulis (European flat oyster)
Lineage: Eukaryota; Metazoa; Mollusca; Bivalvia; Ostreida; Ostreidae
Exons: 3
Source: RefSeq, a predicted model, not a curated record